GACGAACGCUGGCGGCGUGCUUAACACAUGCAAGUCGAACGGUAAGGCCCUGCUUUUGUGGGGUGCUCGAGUGGCGAACGGGUGAGUAACACGUGAGUAACCUGCCCUUGACUUUGGGAUAACUUCAGGAAACUGGGGCUAAUACCGGAUAGUAGCUCCUGCGGCAUGGUGGGGGUUGGAAAGUUUCGGCGGUUGGGGAUGGACUCGCGGCUUAUCAGCUUGUUGGUGGGGUAGUGGCUUACCAAGGCUUUGACGGGUAGCCGGCCUGAGAGGGUGACCGGCCACAUUGGGACUGAGAUACGGCCCAGACUCCUACGGGAGGCAGCAGUGGGGAAUAUUGCACAAUGGGCGGAAGCCUGAUGCAGCAACGCCGCGUGCGGGAUGACGGCCUUCGGGUUGUAAACCGCUUUCGCCUGUGACGAAGCGUGAGUGACGGUAAUGGGUAAAGAAGCACCGGCUAACUACGUG
Molecule: ribosomal RNA, 468 nt
Filed under: uncultured bacterium
Lineage: Bacteria
Description: partial 16S ribosomal RNA
Rfam family: Bacterial small subunit ribosomal RNA
Source: RNAcentral